Molecule: transfer RNA, 73 nt
Filed under: Moniliophthora perniciosa
Lineage: Eukaryota; Fungi; Basidiomycota; Agaricomycetes; Agaricales; Marasmiaceae
Also listed under: 2 other names
Description: tRNA-Arg
Rfam family: tRNA
About the family: Transfer RNA (tRNA) molecules are approximately 80 nucleotides in length. Their secondary structure includes four short double-helical elements and three loops (D, anti-codon, and T loops).
Source: RNAcentral
AUUUUCUUAGUUUAAUUGGUUAGAACUGCAUUCUUCUAAAGUGCAAAUUUUGGUUCGAAUCCAAAAGAAAAUA